This 2439-nucleotide long non-coding RNA is filed under the name Paramuricea clavata. The record is from RNAcentral. Lineage: Eukaryota; Metazoa; Cnidaria; Anthozoa; Malacalcyonacea; Plexauridae.
AUAAAUUUAAAUUAAUGACUCAAGUUGUUGAUUUUUCCCUCCACUUUCUUGACAAACACAAUAUUAAACACGAUUAUUUAUUUUUGUGGGAGAGGGGUUCGGGGUUGUGAAGAGUCCAUUUACAGUAUAUGACAAGCAUCAUGCCUACUCAUAUGUCACACCCUAUUAGCUGCACUGAUUCUGAACUGGCACUGAUAAUCUGACCAAGAUUCACUUGGACAGUCCUAACCUGACCAACUGGAGCACGAAACCCCAGUAUGGACAGUCCUUACCCUGACCAAUCGGAGCGCAAAACCCCUAUGGACAGUCCUUAACCUGACCAAAGGCACAAAACCCAUAUGGCCAGUCCUUAACCUGAACAUGGGGGGUAAACCCCCAUGGACAGUCCUUAAAUUUAGAUAUAUUAUGUGUGACAUAUAUUGAGUCUAUGGGCCUGAAGUUGUGCAUUUUAUGGAGACUUCAUCCCCACAAAUACACAGAAUGUGUAUUCCCCAUAGACGAACCCUCCCCCCGAAACGUUGUUAGUUAUUUAGCGGUUACCACAUUUGUCAAAGUGGCUGAUACCCCAGAUAGAGUUGCAAGACAGCUGCUGCCAGAUGACAGUUAGACAUAUAUUUGAGCGUUACCAUCACUCAUACUAUAGCUGGAUAAUCAGGGAGGCCAGAAAAAACCUGGAAUAUACAGGAAACCUGGAUGGGGCCAAGACAACCAGCAGCUUCCCCACAAAGCUUCUAUCUUACAAUUUCUUAAUUGGAGGGUUGGUAACACGACAAACAAAGCUCACCAUCAAGGCACAUAAUUAUUUCUUUUAUUUAUUUAUUUAUUUAUUUUUUUUUUUUUAUGUAAAUGUGUUCAUUAAGACGUUUUGCACAUUUUUUUUUUUUUUGUUAACCACUCUUAUUUUAUUUCAAUUAUGAUUGGUGGAACUUUCCUGAGUUGUGUGACAUUACUCUCAGAAAAAUAGCUUGUUCAUUAGUUUAAUUCGAAAUAGCAGGGCAAAAAUGCAAUUCAGGUGCUUAUAACCGGUGUUGUGAUCGAACAUCCAAUCAUGCAUCCAUGAUAUUAGCAGAAAUUGUAAAAUAUGUAUUUGGUAGAUUAAAUAUAUCAUGCAGUUAAAUGAUAGUACAUCAACGGAUUUUCAAUUUUCAUGAGCGUAGGCAUGCAUGGUAAUGUUAGUGACGUACCAAUCUUUCAUGAUAUCCAUCUUGCCGACUUAUCGCAAAUGUAGAUAAAUAUAUAUGUGCAGAGUUUGAAAUCUUAAAUUUCGUUAACAAAUGAGCUUGCUUUCUUAUGUUUUGAACAGUAAAGUAUUGACAAUGUUGCAGGUCCAAUUAAUGUUAGGUUUUGUUAGUUGACCUGCAUCUAGGGACGCAAAGCCUCAUUAAUAUCAUUAACUCGACGAAAGACACGCAAAAUCACUGUUUCUUAUUGGCUGUCUUAACGCAAAAUAGCAAGAUUCGAUUGGCUGUUGCAUACAUUUCUUGUAUGCUAAAUAUGUUGUCCUGAGUUAUUCGCUUUGUAAUUUCCAUGGUCAUGAAAUAUAGGUAAUAGAUCAUUAAUAUAUGCAGAUAGUCAUUUUGACAGAUUAUGCUCGCAACCCACUGUUAAUCUGCCCAAUGGAAUUUGUCUUUAGUCUUUACUAUUAGUACAAAGAACAAUUUGUAUAGAUAGAAAACCUAUACUCGAGCUGCGUGCCAGUCAAAAUUGUACAUUUCGCAAAGCAUAUUGCUCUUGGAGGCAUGGCUCAAAUUGUUUGUUAUAGUGCGUUUGCAGUCUGUACUGUACUACAAAAGUUCACAUAUAAUUAAGUUAUGCUUAUAUGAACUAAGUCUAGUGACAUUAAAAAUAGGCCUACUAUAUAUCCCAACAGUAUAUCCAGUAUUGUGAGUUGCGGCAUUGUGAAAUGUACGCGUUAAACUUUUGUGGCUUAAACGAAACCGCAGUUAUAGCUUACUCGCCGCUUUGCCUUUAAUUAAGGCUUUGGCCUGAAAGGAGUGAACAAGUUAUGACAUUGAGAUGCAUAAGAGUUCGCUUGUAUAUCUAUUCGAUCAUUCUUUCAUUCUUUAGUAGACGGUUCUGUUCAUAUAUUCAUGCAAAUUCUACCAAAUUUGUUUCAUGCAACGUGUAAAGCGAAUGGAUUUUUUUUUUUUUUUAAUUUUUUUUUUUAAUGUUACUCUGUCGACAUCUCAGAGUAAAUUACGUUAUUUUGCAUGAACUCGUGCAUGUUAAGUGCCAAUUAGGAUGGGCUGUGUUGUGCCCUAUGAUUGGUCAAAGCACAGAACAGAGUCGUACAAGGUUUUCAAUUGGUUCACAGUGUGUUUCACGGUUUGUUCACGUGAAUGUGUGCUAACUGGCAGAAGAUGAUCUUUGACCUAUCUGUCAAGACCUUUGACCUAACUGUCAAAGAUUAGGUUGAUAUAAACCAUAUCUACCUCCUCA